UUUCUACAGUGGAAAAUAUAGCUUGGUCAAAUGGAGUUUUAUUUCUUUUGCUAUUAUUACAAAUGAAUAUAGGCUUUCUUUCUUUCUUUUUUCUUUUCUUUUUUCCUCCUAAAGAAUGUAAUAGUACUUUUAUAUCAUGGCCAUACUGCACAGCAGAAUCUAAUUUAAGUUUACAGUCCAUUUAAUAAGAACACUGCAGAGCUUUGUCCACUAACUAGAUGUUAAAUAUUGCUUUCAUUUGAAAUAAAACAAUAAUGGACAUUAACUAUAACCAUUUCUAAAAGUGCAGGCUUUUUGAUUGCUUUCUACCUUGCUAACAAACAGUUUCAGUUGACUUUUGUAUCACUUUGAGCCAGCAGAGGUAAGCCUUGCAAAAGAGUCAGAUGUUCUGAUAUUUGGGUUAUUUCUGUAAAACCUUAAGAGACGGAGCCUGCUCCAGAAAACGCCGAGGGCUGAAAUAUAUUAUGAGAGAACUACUGUUUAUGCAGACCUCAGGUUCACGGCAAAGAAACAGAAAAUAGCAAAUUCCCGUAAGAGCUAAACCUUCACCUAUUUACAGAAAUAUUAGGCAGCAGGAUGAAAACAUGAAAAUCAAUGGAAAAUAAUAUUUAAUGUUCUGCCAAUUUAACUGGGGUUAUAUUGUAUCUAUCUGUCUUGCAUUUAGAGAAAGUCUUCCAUUCAUUACUAGCUAUGCCAUUAAUUUUGUUGGUGUAUUUGUGUGUGUUAAUCUUUGUUUCUUUCUUUUUUCUUUCUUUCUUUACUUCCUAAAGGGAUUUUAAAAAGUGUAUAUUCAUAUUCUGGCAUCAUUAUUGAUCAUAUUUUAUAUUUCAAUCAAGUUAAUAAAUAAUCCUAUACAUUGCUUUUUAAAUGAGUACACAUGAUGGACAAUAAUGGUUUGUCCAAUUUUUGGAGUUUCCUGUCAAUAGAGAAGCAAAACACUUUAAGAGAAAUAAAUUCCGAAGCUGCCUAUAAAAAAAUAAAUAAAGAAAAAUUUAAAAAUUUAAAAAAAAUGCCCAUAGCCCUGAGUUAUAAAGUUAUAAGCACUGAUAUCACAUAGGGGAUACAGCUCUCAUGAAAUGAGAAUGCUAUUUCACCUUGCAAAUGGCUUCAUAGAAAAUGACCACUAAGUCUUGGUAGGUGUGGUGAACCAUGCACUUCAUUUUGGGGACCAUGUCACACACAGUUUUUGAUUUAUUUUAAAUAAUAAUAAAUAAAAAACUUUUUAGUAAUGAUUCUUCUCCCCAAAAUAGGCAUAAUUUCCAGCUGUGCUUACAAUUACUGUUAGAUUAAUUGCAAUAAAAGGGGUGUAAAGUAACGAAUUACAAAUACUCUCGUUACUGUAAUUGAGUAGUUUUUCUCAGGAAUUAUACUUUAUUGAGUAGUUUAAAAAUAGUAUACUUUUACUUGAGUACAUUUUAAGCGCUGUAACGAUACUUUUACUGCACCAUUUUCCCUCGACUUGCUAUUGCUACAUGCUUUACAUGUCGUAAUUUACUCUUUUUUUUUUCGUCAACGGUGAUUGGCUAAGGAGAAUAACCAAUCCCAUCAAAUCAAAUUGCGCAUUGAAAACUUGCAUUAGACCUCGUGACACCUGCCGCUAAUUUCUUUUAAUCAUGGAGGGGGAGGGAGGAAGUGUGGUGGUGGUGGAUGCUUCAACAAGCAACAGUUCCAGUACAACAACUGAACAUCCGUGGCUGCACCUGAAAGAGCUAUUCGUGAUGAAGAUGAAGAAGAGCAGUUGUAUGAUUAUGUCAUUUCAGCUUUGUUUGCCUAAACCAGUCGAAAUAUCAACAUUCAAGAAUUCUACCUCUAAUUUGAAAAAACAUAUCAAGGUAAGUUUCGGAUUUCUGCUAACUAGGAUAUUUGUAAAGUAUGUAUGCAUAACAUAACCUGUCAAUGACUGUACCUAGUUAGCGAUUACAUUAUUGGGCUGCUGUGUGAGAAAUAUAGCCGCAGUGUUUACAACAUUAUGGAACUACAAGCUUUAGCUCGUUAGUUCUAUCUAGUGCAUUAAGUGAGGGUAAUGUGUUCUCACUUUGCAAUUUAACAUGGUAGUCUGUGUAUUGCAAAUAAUGUUUUAUACAAAGCAUCAGUUUUAUAUCUCUGUAAUCAUUGUGCAUUCAUGUUUAUUUUUUUUUUAUUUUUUUUAUUGAUGCAAGCAAAUAGUUUUUAUCAUUGAUGAGCAAUGUGACAUUUACUCAAUUUUGAAAUUUUUACAGAGAAAACAUCUAUCCAAAAUUAAUGCAGUACAAUGAAUGCAUCUUGAAAAGAAAGAACGAUUCGACGAGAGGUGCGAUUCAGCUGUGAAACAUUUGAAGAUUAAAGACUACUCCAUGUCAUGCAGGCAGGUUGCUCAGGCCACAAUUGGCAGGCUUGUAGUUGAGUUUGUCUACGAAAGUCUUCAACCAUUUACCACUGUUGAACUCCAAACAUUCAAAAAUCUUAUCCUUACAAUGCAACUUAGCUGAACAGUUAUGUCCAGACCAACUGUGAAGCUGAAAAUCCAGGAAACAGCUGCAAAGCUCAAGGAAAACAUGAUUGCUGAGAUGGCCAAUUUCAACUAUAUAGGUACCACUACUGAUUGUUGGACAGCAUGACAACGGAUUUACAUUGGUCUACACUGGAAAGAAGGUCUGCCUCCAUUGCCUUUAGACACUUGAAAGGUCAGCAUACCUUUGAUUUGCUCGCAGGGAUCCUGGAUGACAUCCAUUCUAAAUACGGCAUCACAGAAAAGAUAGUGAGAAUGACAACUGAUAGCGGAUCAAAUUUUAUCAAAGCAUUUAAAGUGUAUGGUGAACAGAGUCAGCAAGAGGAGAUGAGUGCUGAGGCAGUGGCUGUGGAGAGUGAUGAAGAUGCAGAAGGAGUUGAGGUUCAGGACACCUGUUCUAUUUUAAACGCAAACAGUGGGUUGGAGUAUCACCUAACCAAAAAUCAGCGUUGUGCAUGUCACUUCCUUAAUUUGGUGGCUACUGUGGCACAUCCAAAGCAGAGAUCAGCAGUGAGAUAUUUAAGAAGCUUUCCUUUACUACAUUUGCAAAAUGCCAGGCAUAAUACAAUAAAACCAGCCGGUCUGCCAUCAACGCUGAAAUUGUGCAAGAACAAUGUAAGCUGCAGUUCAUACAGCCCAACCACACAAGAUGGAAUUUAGUGUACAGUGCUGCAGAGAGGAUGACACGGAUCUUAAAGGAGCAGGGAGAAGCAUCCCUUCGAAUGUAUGUGCAGCAUUCAAAAUUAAAAUGCUGUAUCCUGCUGAAGUUGCUUUCCUCUCUGAAUACUGCUGUGUGAUGAAGCCUGUUGCCAUGGCCUUGAACAUCCUUCAAUUCGAAACAAACACUCACAUGGGGUGGCUGCUUCCCACCAUCUACCUUCUUCAUUCAAAGCUCAAAAAGAUGCAGGCUUCAGUCAAGGUGUGUCUUCCCCUUAUUCACGCUCUGCAGUAGGGUCUACAAAAGCGCUUUGGAGAGCUUAUGGAAGAUCCGGAACUCAUCAGUGCUGCAAUUCUUCUUCCCAAAUUCAAAACGUCAUGGACAGACAAGGUCCACAUCAUUAAAGCAGGUACAGAUUACAUUCUGCAUCAUCUGAUGCCAUGAAGGACACACAACAAAAAGAAUCACGGUGUGAUGCCUCUGACGGGGAUGACUUCUUCUCUUCCAUUAAACAGUUUCAUCCCCAACUGCAUCUGAACUGGAUGGAUACUUGGCAUGUGCCUCAGAAGAGAUGGAACUGCUUCACUCAUUCCCUUCAGUGAAAAAGCUAAGCCUCAGACUGAACACACCCUUGCCUGCCUCUGCGGCAUGUGAGCGCUGUUUUAGUUGUGCUGAGAAGCUGUUUACACCUAAUCAAGCCAGGCUGGACUGUUAAAAUUUUGAGAAUCAGCUCCUUGUGAAACUGAACAACAAAUUCAAAAUGUAGGCUCAUUGUUGACCCCUACAUUAAAAUAGCUGCAAAUCUGCAUUAAUGUUCAUGUUCAUGUUGAGAACAUUGUCAGUUAAUUUAUAUGUUGGUAUAUUUACUUCAGUGUGAUUCUCCAAUAUGUGCUACAGACUCACCUUUUCAAGUUAAAUUGUUAAGGUACAACACUGUGAAACCCUUUUCUCUUUAUAGGAUACAAGAACUUAACGUGUAAGAAAACUUUUAUUAAUGUCAUGAUAAUCUAUUGGUUGCUUUUUCAAAUAUUACAUGCCUCUAUUUUAAAUGUUAGCAGUCAAAAAUAAAAGUCUUAUAAGGCGGAAUA
This is a long non-coding RNA of Myxocyprinus asiaticus (Chinese sucker), 4234 nucleotides long. RefSeq lists it as uncharacterized. Lineage: Eukaryota; Metazoa; Chordata; Actinopteri; Cypriniformes; Catostomidae. The record is from RefSeq and is a predicted model, not a curated record. The transcript has 3 exons.